GACGAACGCUGGCGGCGUGCUUAACACAUGCAAGUCGAACGGAAAGGCCCUGCUUUUGUGGGGUGCUCGAGUGGCGAACGGGUGAGUAACACGUGAGUAACCUGCCCUUGACUUUGGGAUAACUUCAGGAAACUGGGGCUAAUACCGGAUAGGAGCUCCUGCUGCAUGGUGGGGGUUGGAAAGUUUCGGCGGUUGGGGAUGGACUCGCGGCUUAUCAGCUUGUUGGUGGGGUAGUGGCUUACCAAGGCUUUGACGGGUAGCCGGUCUGAGAGGGUGACCGGCCACAUCGGGACUGAGAUACGGCCCAGACUCCUACGGGAGGCAGCAGUGGGGAAUAGUGAACAAUGGGCGGAAGCCUGAUGCAGCAACGCCGCGUGCGGGAUGACGGCCUUCGGGUUGUAAACCGCUUUCGCCUGUGACGAAGCGUGAGUGACGGUAAUGGGUAAAGAAGCACCGGCUAACUACGUG
This 468-nucleotide ribosomal RNA is filed under the name uncultured bacterium. RNAcentral's name for it is "partial 16S ribosomal RNA". It matches the Rfam family "Bacterial small subunit ribosomal RNA", at positions 28 to 507 of the family's 1533-position model. The record is from RNAcentral.